Camelina sativa (false flax) is the source of this 2054-nucleotide non-coding RNA. The record is from RefSeq and is a predicted model, not a curated record. NCBI's taxonomy places the organism in Eukaryota, Viridiplantae, Streptophyta, Magnoliopsida, Brassicales, Brassicaceae.
GUUAUAUAGGACUCAAUUCCAUCUCUGUCGCUUAUCAUCGACGCCGAGCUCUCUGUAACUGAGAAAAAGAUCGACGCUUUUUCUCUUCCGAGUAAGCUUUUCUCGGGAAAGAUCCCUUUUUUUCCUCUGUUUAUUUCGUUUCCGGGUGUGGGUUUAGGACAAAAUGAUAGGAAUCCGCUUUAGGAAGACCAAAUCUUGUGAGCUGUCUCUACCAUCUUUAGUUUGGUCAACAAAAGAUCUGAGCUUUAGGGUUUUGUAGAUAGAUAGAUGUAGAGCGUCUUCUUUAAAUUUGCAGACUUUUGUUGUUGUUGUUGUGAUUGAAGACAACAAUGUCUAGUCGUUGCGACCACCAAUCGGACAAGAGGAACAACAAAUCGUCCGAAACUGUUCCAAUUGCUGAGUACAAUAUUCUGAAAGAAGUCUAAUCCAAACGCUUGAGCUUCUAGAGAAAACGCAUGGAGUCACUAUUGAUGAUAUUGUGGAAAAGCAAGGACGAGAAUUGGAGCGGAAGGAGGAGAUUGCUAAGUUGGGCAACAAGUUUGGUGAAAUGCAGAAGAAGCUUGAGACCGUCAUAAAGGAUCUCGAAUUCAUCAUGUCUGUUGAUGAUACCGGUGUGGCUUCAGGUAGUGCAAGACCUGCAAAGAAACCUAAGGUGGGGACAAAAGAAGAUGUGAUAAUGCUUAGUGACGAUGAAGAAAGAAAGCAAUGAAUGGCACAGUAACUCAUCACAUCAGGACCCCUUCAUAUAUAUGUGAUCAAGAUCUUGAAUCAAUUUAAGAGUUCGGAAGUUUUGUUUUGAAACUAAAAACUUCAAAUCUUUUUUUUUUUUUUUUUUUUAAGUUGGUUCUUGUUGCUUUUAUUUCUGAUUGUUGAUGAUCUGAUUGCUGAGAUCCUUGAUCCGACGGGGAAGGAUUUUGGGCGUGUGCUUUUCCUUUUACUUGCCUUUGUAAUUAGGUAGUAUGUUUCAAAUGCCUUCUAAUAGUGAAGAAAACAUAUAGAGGCUUCGAAACUUUUUGCUGGUGGUCUGUUUUUCGUGAGCCAGAACAUCAACUUGUGGGCAAACUCCAGCUCUAUAUAUAUAUUGACUAUCCAGCAAGUUUUGAUGAUAACUGCAGCCAUUAAUAUUUUAGUUGGGUUGGUGAUCUGAUCUCUUCUGAUUUCGGCUCUGUAAGUGGAUUUGGCAUUUCUUUGUAGUAUACUAUAAGAGACACUUAAGCAGUCCAUUUCCUUGAGAAACUGUAAAGCUUUUAUCUCAUACAACAGUAGCCUCUUCUCGUACUAAGCGAUUUUUAACCAGAAAAUAUUAUCUUACUAUAUAUGGUUGUUGAUUUUUAGACUUGUUAAGUUGUUAUUAGCAAUUUUAUUAAAGAUGGGAUCUUCAUGGCUAUGUUAACUACUGUAUACAACACUCUAAAUUUCCUGCAGCUGUUGAUUGCCCCUUUGUUUGUUAUAUUUUUUUGUAUGCAGUUUUCUUGAACUUCCAAACCUGCUCUCAGCGUCUAUAUAUAGCACUGAUCUCUGAAAUAGAGACUUCGAGCAUUCCUUGUUGCAUGUCCGCCCUCUGGCCAACAGUUGUAGAGCUUGUGAUUGCAACUGCGGACUUUUAACGUGAUCUUUCCAACUGGAACAUUAAUUAGGAACUGUCAUUCGAGCAGGUAAAAUGGUCUGGAGUCAGGACACAACAUUCAACAACUCCAUUUGUUGAUGAAAUGUAUAAGAGGCUGAACGAAACCAUUCAAGACUAUCACGUUAUCAUUUCCAGAUGGCCAGAAUAUAUAUUUGUUCUGGAGAGUGUAAGUUUAGCUGUUCCUUGAUGCCUUUUGAUUUUACGAUUAUGAAAAUAUUGCUUGUACAUACCAUUGCAUGUUAUAAGCUUACAACUUAAUUACAUGUAUGGUGUUAAUUUGGAAUGAAUAGGCUGACAUUGAUUGUGUUUCUUUAGGCCAUUGCUGAUGUUGAAAAAGCAAUUGUGGAAGAUCUGUAAUUACAUCCAAUGGUAUCGCACACUAAAUUGUCUGUUGAUUUUACAGGCUAGAAACUAGAAAAAAAAAAAA